AAUACAUGCAAGUCGAACGAGUUCUGAUUAUUGAAAGGUGCUUGCAUCUUGAUUUAAUUUUGAACGAGUGGCGGACGGGUGAGUAACACGUGGGUAACCUGCCCUUAAGUGGGGGAUAACAUUUGGAAACAGAUGCUAAUACCGCAUAAAUCCAAGAACCGCAUGGUUCUUGGCUGAAAGAUGGCGUAAGCUAUCGCUUUUGGAUGGACCCGCGGCGUAUUAGCUAGUUGGUGAGGUAACGGCUCACCAAGGCAAUGAUACGUAGCCGAACUGAGAGGUUGAUCGGCCACAUUGGGACUGAGACACGGCCCAAACUCCUACGGGAGGCAGCAGUAGGGAAUCUUCCACAAUGGACGCAAGUCUGAUGGAGCAACGCCGCGUGAGUGAAGAAGGCUUUCGGGUCGUAAAACUCUGUUGUUGGAGAAGAAUGGUCGGCAGAGUAACUGU
This 447-nucleotide ribosomal RNA is filed under the name Lacticaseibacillus rhamnosus. RNAcentral's name for it is "bacterial SSU rRNA". It matches the Rfam family "Bacterial small subunit ribosomal RNA", at positions 50 to 468 of the family's 1533-position model. The record is from RNAcentral. Lineage: Bacteria; Bacillati; Bacillota; Bacilli; Lactobacillales; Lactobacillaceae.